RNAcentral lists this ribosomal RNA (700 nucleotides) under uncultured Gram-positive bacterium. Its description in RNAcentral is "bacterial SSU rRNA". It matches the Rfam family "Bacterial small subunit ribosomal RNA", at positions 74 to 795 of the family's 1533-position model. The record is from RNAcentral.
GUGGCUUCGGCCCACAAUGAUAAACCGCCACACGGUGAGUAACGCGUGAGUAUCUGCCCUCCGGUGGGGUAUACCUCGGAAACUAAGGAUAAUCCCGCAUACGCCUGCAUCCCUUGGGGUGCAGAUGAAAGCUUCGUUCCCCGGAGAAGGAGCUCGCGUCCUAUCAGGUUGUUGGUGGGGUAAAAGCCUCCCAAGCCGAUGCGGGUAGCUGGUCUUAGAGGACGAUCAGCCAGAGGGGGACUGAGCCCGGCCCCCACUCCUACGGGAGGCAGCAGCAGGGAAUUUUGGGCAAUGGGCGAAAGCCUGACCCAGCGACGUCGCGUGGGGGAUGAAGGCCUUAGGGCUGUAAACCCCUUUUCCCGGGGAAGAGAAAGGACGGUACCCGGGGAAUAAGCUCCGGCUAACUACGUGCCAGCAGCCGCGGUAACACGUAGGGGGCAAGCGUUGUCCGGAUUUAUUGGGCGUAAAGAGCUCGUAGGCGGUUGCGUAAGUCGGAUGUGAAAACUCAGGGCUCAACCCGGAGACGCCAUCCGAUACUGCGCUGACUAGAGUCCGGUAGGGGAGCAUGGAAUUCCUGGUGUAGCGGUGAAAUGCGCAGAUAUCAGGAGGAACACCAGUGGCGAAGGCGGUGCUCUGGGCCGGUACUGACGCUCAGGAGCGAAAGCGUGGGUAGCGAACAGGAUUAGAUACCCUGGUAGUC